CGUCACCGCCCCUCCCCCCCCGCAGCCCCCAGGGGGCUCCCGGAGCGUGCGGAACCCGCGGGGCUGGCGGCUCCAGGGGCGGCUUCCCCACUCUUGGGAUCCCCACGGGGCCCCCAGCGUGGAGGGGAGACUAGGGUGCUGGGCGUGCGCGUCUGCCCGCCAGAGCCCCUGGGGCUGGGGGCUGAGGCUCGCCCCUGGGUGGGGGCGCUGGAAGGGGGCGCCGGGGCCGCAAAAGGGUGGGGCAAGGCCCGAGUGCCGGAGGGGCGACCUCCCAUAAGGCAACGACAGGGCCCGGAGUGUGCCAGGGGAGACGGCGUAGACUCGGGGGUCUCCAGGGGAGGGGGACCCGGAGAGGAAAGGCGGCGGGCGCAGCAGCCCUGGAGCCACCCCGCCUCCAGCCACCCGUCCCGGCUCCUCUCCGCUCCGGGGCGCCUGCACGACCCCGAUCCCCCGGCACAGCGCCCCCUGCCUCCAGGACCCGCCCGGGGACCCAGGCCGGACGCCGCCGGGGCCGGCACCCGCUCCGCACACACGCGCGCCCCCCUCCGCGCCUCUGCCCCGCCCGCAGCCCGGGGUGGUGCAGCCGGCGGCGCUGGGCAGCUUCCAACACCGCGCUUCGGGCGCUUCCAGCCCAGCCCCCUCCCACGCCGCGGGCGAAGCCCCCCAGCCCCGCCCGCCGAGUGCCCCCAGCGCGGUCCCGGCCCAGCCCCUCGGGGCAUUGUCCGGGCUCAGCUCCCGGGGCGCAGGGGCUGGGCGUGCAACCGGCUGCAGCCGAGCAUCCUCCGAGCACAAUGGCCGUGCAGGCUUCCCCGGCACAAAGCCGGCGCGCUGCCCACUCAGCUGCCUCCGAGACCCCCCUUGGAGCGCCUGCAUUUUUUUUUCCUCGAAUCCAUGAUUUUUUUUUUUUUUUUUUUUUUGGCUUUACCUGGAGGCUGGCUGGGCUGGGCUCCCCCGGCUCUGCCCCGCUUCACAUCCUGGCUGUUGCAUGGAAUCCGAGCGGAGCCCGAGCGCCAGCGGCUCGCGGCGUGCGCGCGCCGGCCGGGCUGCCGGGCGGGCGGCGCGAGGACACUCACUGCGGCUCGCGCUCCCCUCGCGCCGGCUCGCGCGCCCCCCCAGCCGGUGACGUCAUCCCUUCCGCCAGCGCCGCCGCCGCCGCCGCUGCCGGGUCGGGGGCAGGGCCGGCCCGGGCGCGUCACUGCGCAGCCGCGCGGCUGCCACGCCCCCCGGCCAAUGGGACGGCGCGGCGCGGUCACGUGGCCCCGGGGUGUUCAAAGGGCCGCGGGAGCACGUGGGGCCCUGGGCUUCGCGGGACACGUGGGCGGCGGUAGUGUUGGUGGUGGCGGCGGGAAGGGCCCCUCGGGCUACUGUCCGUGCGGGAGCCCCAGCGUCCUGGGUGCAAAGGGCAUGGCACUUUCUGUGUGCUGCUCUAAACUCUGCCAGAGCUCCCUAGUGUCCUUGGAAUAA
This 1464-nucleotide long non-coding RNA is filed under the name Papio anubis (olive baboon). RNAcentral's name for it is "lncRNA (ENSPANG00000038834.1)". Lineage: Eukaryota; Metazoa; Chordata; Mammalia; Primates; Cercopithecidae. The record is from RNAcentral.